GCCUCUAGUAUAAAAUAAAUAUCAAAAAUAUGUCUUUGUUUUACUAUGAUUGCAAAUAUCAAAAAAUUUCUAUGUGUGACACGGCACCAGAGUUAAGUUGGGGUUUUUCAAAAUGCUGACACACUGAGCUCAAAAGGUUCGCCACCACUGCUCUAUCCACUGAGCCACACCAGCCAGGGCUCAUCACCUUUUCUCUUUUUUUUUUUUCAAAUGAGUUAAAUGCUUUUAUUUUUUUAAUUCUUUCUUCCUUGAUUAAGGUGUUACAUAUGUGUCCUUACCCCUCCCCAUUGCCCCCCACACCCCUCGUCACCUUUUCUUACGUCUGGUGGAUGGUACUUAUACACCAAGUGUGAUUGACAUGGGGUUUUCCCCUGCUAGCCACAUGACCUUACGGCAUGACUGUAUAUUCUACCCUCUUUAAUGUGCUUUAUUUUCUGUUUCCCCCUUCACCUGAAGUGUUGUGUGUCCGUCAUUUCUCAUUCUGUUUGCACUGCCGACAAGAAUUAAAUUAACGCGACCUGCUCUCCCCCCAGGUCCCGCGGGACCCCAGGGCUCUCAGCCGGAGCAGCGAUGGACCCCGCGCGGGGCCCCGUGACCUUCGAAAACGUGGCCGUGUUCUUCUCCCUGGAGGAGUGGGGGCUUCUGGAUGAGGCUCAGCGGGUGCUGUACUGCGACGUGAUGCUGGAGGUCUGCACACUGGUUGCCUCGCUGGGUUGGCAUAGGGCAGAGGAUAAAGACGCAGCCUCUGAGCAGAAUGUUGCUGAAACGUCACAGAGAAACACUCCAAAGGCAGGUCUAUCCACGCAGGAGGCCGACCCCUGGGAGACGUGUGGCCUGGCCUCAGAAGGCGGUUCACCCCUGACUGACAGCCUCGGGGAAACUGAGCAGGAACUGCCUGGGGCACCUGGGAAAGGUCGCCAGCUCCAGCACAGAGGAGAGGAACUCUCCAGAAGGAACACAGACCGGGCCUCCUGCGGGAAGAGCUGCACAGCCCGCGCCUCAGAGGAGCCGUUCACGUGCUGGGAGGCUGGGAGGGGCUCCCCCACCAACUCCCGCUUCUACCCACUCACGCACGGCGAGCGUGCGGAGGCCUUUCGCCCGGGACGAAAGCACUAUGAGUGCAGUGACUGUGGGAAAGGCUUCUGCCAAAAGGACAGACUUGCUCAGCACCAGAGAAUUCACAGUGGAAAGAGGCCGUACAAGUGCAGCGAGUGUGGGAAAAGCUUCAGCUACAAACACACGCUUGUUCGGCACCAGCGGACUCACACGGGAGAGAGGCCGUACAAGUGCAGCGAGUGCGGGAAAACCUUCAGCUACAAACACACGCUUGUUGGGCACCAGCGAGUUCACACGGGAGAGAGGCCGUAUCAGUGCAGCGAGUGUGGGAAAUUUUUCAGCCAUAGCUGCAGCCUUAGUGAGCAUCAGAGAAUCCACACUGGGUCACGGCCUUAUAAAUGCUGCGACUGUGGAAAAUUCUUUACCUCCAGCUCCAACCUCGUAAAACACCAGAGAGUUCACACAGGAAGGAGGCCUUACGAGUGCAGUGACUGUGGGAAAUGUUUUACCCAGAGUCCCAGCCUUAUUAUACAUCAGAGGAUCCACACUGGUGAGAGGCCCUAUGAGUGCACCGAGUGUGGCAAGGUGUUUAGCCAAAGUUCCACCCUCAGCAAGCACCAGAGAGUUCACACAGGAGCCAGGUCUUACAGGUGCAGCGAGUGUGGAGAGUUCUUCAGCCAAAGCACCCAACUGGCCCGGCAUCGGAAAGGCCACAUCAGAGACAGGCCCCAGGGGUGCAGCAGGUGUGGGUAGGUCUUCCUGCAGGAUCCACUCUUACUCAGCACCAGGAACUUCACGUCCCAGGCAGACUGUGGCUGCCGCUAAUGUGGGAAAGUCUUCAGCUGGAAGUCUAACCUCGCUCAGCAUCAGAAAUGUCACAGUGGAGAAGGGCCUGGGCAUGAGAUGGGAUAGCAGGGAGUGAGCUCUCUGUCACACGACAUAUGAAAAAUUGAAAAAACCCUGUAGCUACAACCUUGCUUUUGACCCCUGAGCCACAGCUGACAACACAGUUCUUCAGGCUGGCAUUGGGCACCUUCAGAGAGGCCCCCGGCGGGGCUCGGGCAAGACAGGCAGGUACCACGGGGGAGCGAGGCAGCAGCUGACAUGUUUUCUUUUUUUAAAAAUAUAUUUUAUUGAUUUUUUAUAGAGAGGAAGGGAGAGGGAUGGAGAGUUAGAAACAUCGAUGAGAGAGAAACAUCGAUCAGCUGCCUCCUGCACAUCCCCUACUGGGGAUGUGCCCGCAACCAAGGUACAUGCCCUUGACUGGAAUCGAACCUGGGACCCUUCAUUCGCAGGCCGAUGCUCUAUCUGCUGAGCCACACCGGUUAGGGCUGCAGCUCCCUUUAUACGGGGAAUCCUGGUCGGGAGGAUGGUGGUGGCAGCAGCUCAGGAAGAGGAGGCUGAGCCCGAGGCCCGGGUUUCCUGUGCGGGCCUCCGAUUGUGGGAGGUGGGUGUCACACAGGUGACCGACGAGGCGGCCAUGUGGAGGGGGGCGGGGAGACUCCGGUUGGGUAGAGGUCACGGCCUCCGCGGGGUGAGUGGCCAUGAGAUGGGUGGAGCAGAGCAGCAGCUCACACAGGAUGACGGGGGCUGGUCCGCAGUCACGGCCCUAGAGCCUCCCCAGGACGUCGCUGUGCCCCUUGGUGUGGGGGGGAGUGGCACGCGGCCGGCACCAUGGCCCAGCUGCACACGUGGAGACUCACUGGGCACAGGCUGGAGGGCCACUGCGGCUGGGCCUGGUGUGGGCUGAGGAGAGGGAAGGCUGUGACUGUGAAGGGACAGGAGGUGCAGCACCAGUGGGGGAGGCUGUGGGCACCUGAGAGCCGAUGUGACGGGAACAAGGAACCGUCAGGAGGGAGGCCCUCGGGGCAGGACUCCGGCCGCCUCUGUGAUGUGGACCAUCAGAGCCCGGGCAGUGCUCGAUCCUCUUAGAAUUUUCCGACCGUUCUCCGGACCCUAAUCUGCUGAGCAGCGGAGAGAGAGGCCAAGGAGAUGAUGGUGCCUCACAGGAGGCG
Molecule: RNA transcript, 3071 nt
Organism: Myotis daubentonii (Daubenton's bat)
Lineage: Eukaryota; Metazoa; Chordata; Mammalia; Chiroptera; Vespertilionidae
Gene name: zinc finger protein 792-like
Exons: 4
Source: RefSeq, a predicted model, not a curated record